UACGUAGGGGGCUAGCGUUGUCCGGAUUUAUUGGGCGUAAAGAGCGUGUAGGCGGCCCGGUAAGUCCGCUGUGAAAGUCCAGGGCUCAACCCUGGGAUGCCGGUGGAUACUGUCGGGCUCGAGUCCGGAAGAGGAGUGUGGAAUUCCUGGUGUAGCGGUGAAAUGCGUAGAUAUCUGGAGGAACACCGGUGGCGAAGGCGGCAUCCUGGACCGGCAUUGACGCUGAGGCGCGAAAGCCAGGGGAGCAAACGGG
RNAcentral lists this ribosomal RNA (253 nucleotides) under uncultured bacterium. RNAcentral's name for it is "partial 16S ribosomal RNA". It matches the Rfam family "Bacterial small subunit ribosomal RNA", at positions 524 to 776 of the family's 1533-position model. The record is from RNAcentral.